Molecule: long non-coding RNA, 1419 nt
Organism: Poecilia latipinna (sailfin molly)
Lineage: Eukaryota; Metazoa; Chordata; Actinopteri; Cyprinodontiformes; Poeciliidae
Exons: 2
Source: RefSeq, a predicted model, not a curated record
UGCAGAGAAUUUUGGGUUUCUUUGCCAAAAUUAUUCCAAAUGCCUUAAACUACGAAGAAGUGAAAAUAUUGCCAAAACUUGGUACAUGAUCAUGUACAUGUACUGGAACCAUUAUGUGAAGCCAACAUAUCAACAAGAAUCAAAAUCAAAAGAAAACAUGUUAUUCUGGAAAUAUGUUUGCUAAAGAACAUAUUGACUGGCCUAAAGAGAAGUUGCUAACCUUAACCCAUUGUAUGGACUAAUGAUACCAGGAUUAUUUGUUUUAUCUAAAGCCAAAUGGCCAACCCUAACCCGAGCAGUUACUGAGCUCUCUACUGCAACUCCAGCUACCGUUUCACCUAAUUUAACACACCCAGACAUGUGACUCGCAUGUUUGUUCUCCACUGCUUUGUCAGCUUGAUAUUAUGAUCCAGGAUUGUAAGAGUAAACCAUAACUGUUUACCUCUCAAAACCUGAAGGUCAUAUUUACUUGAUCUUGCUUUUAUAAUUGAAAAUGUACAACUUCAUAUGAAAGGGCUUGCAUAAAUAUAUAUUUACAAAUAGGUUUUUUAACCAUUUUAACAUGGUAAACAGAGAUAAUUGAGUAUUUUUAAAGACACAUCUGCCUUAUAUGUUAUUUUUACAGAUUAUUGUAAAAAUUCAUAAUUCACAUGUAAGUAAUUGGAUCCUUUACCAGGAGGUCUAGUGCUAAAUACAGUCAUAUGAAAAAGUUUGGGCACCCCUAUUAAUCUUAAUCAUUUUUAUUUUUAAAUAUUUGGGUGUUUGCAACAGCUAUUUCAGUUUGAUACAACCAAUAACUUAUGGACACAAUAAUAUUUCAGUAUUGAAAUGAGGUUUACUGGACUGAAAAAAAAAAAAAAAGUGCAGUACGCAUUAACACAAAAUUUGACAGGUGCAAUAGUAUGGGCACCUCAACAGAAAAGUGACUAAUAUUUAGUAGAUCCUCAUUUUGCAAAAAUACCAGCCUCUAGUCACUUCUUACAGCUUUUAAUGAGUUUGAUGGUCGCUGAGCAUGGACAACCCGCUUCAAAUCAUCCCACAGAUGCUCAAUGAUAUUCAGGUGUGGGGACUGGGAUGGCCAAUCCAGAACAUUGUAAUUGUACAUCUGCAUGAAUGGCUGAGUAGAUUUGGAGCGGUGUUUUGGAUCAUUGUCUUGCUGAAAUAUCCAUCCCCGGCGUAACUUCAACUUUGUAACUGAUUCUUGAACAUUAAUCUCAAGAAUCUGUUGAUAUAGAGUGGAAUCCAUGCGACCCUCAACUUUAACAAGAUUCCCACUGGCCACACAGCCCCAAAGCAUGAUGGGACCUCCACCAAAUUUAACAGUGGGUAGCAAGUGUUUUUCUUGGAAUGCUGUGUUUUUUUUCCAUUAUGCAUAACGCCUUUUUUUUUUAUGACCAAACAACUCAAUCUUUGUUUCAU